UUGAAAAGAAGUGUGGAGAUCUAGAUCUAUAAAGAGUUGUAAAUGAACAUUAUUUAUUGUUCAUUAAUUUUUUCUACACUGACUGCAGAUCGAGUGCAUCAUCAUGAUCGAUCACACAAGUACAAAUAUACAAGGCCGCCAUGAUAGUGUGUCAAAAGUGAUGGCAGUUUUUUCAAUACCGUAUAUAGUGAGCAGAUUGUUACCUCCUCCAGAGAUUCUCAUGGUUCAACAAUGACCCAGACACUGUCCAGCUGUACAUUGACUACACCUGAUGGCCAACCUCAUCUCCGCUCAGACCUUCCAUCUCAAGAGCACACUCACUUCGUUCUUACAACAGCUAUGGAUACCAACUAACCCAGCUAGUGUGCAUGAGCUGUAACAUCCACCAGGCUAUGGACCCCAGGGCUCCGUCAGUGCUCAUGCCACUCAUCACCAAGAACUAUCCCUUUAAAGGGAGGGGACUAGACAUUCAAGUCGUCAUUGUACGUACAGUCACUCUAUCAGGAGUGGGAGGAAAUGGAGGUGAGGAAAAACGGUGUCCAACAUCUAUUCCACUAUAGCCUCUGAUGCAAUUACCAGAUUUUACAUGUAUCCCCGGUACAUUGUACGUAAAGCAUGUGACAUCAAUUGUUAGGUGGAGAGCGAAAUAAUUACACACAACAAAUUGUGGUACAUGUACGACGACAACGAUUUACACGUACAGACUUAUCUAUUAUGGUUACUAUGCAUCACUGUAAUAAUUAUUAUGGUUACUAUGCAUCGAGGGGGCCCUUGUUAUCAUUUUGAAUAACUGCCAAAGACAUCAUAAAUAACCAAUCACAGUGAUGUAGUUAACGAGGAAGCAUCAUAACUGCGGCCUCACCUCGGUUAUAGAGGUGCUCGGGCGUGGCCCCGUAUAUCGCGCAUGUGUGACUUACUGGCUUACACGUGCAUAUCGGGCUGCUCAACUUUCGAGCCUCCCACCCUCCCUGUCAUGCAGACAUUACUCUGACCACUCCUUUCCAUCUUUUGAUGUGAUUACCAGUAAGGUGGCUGAAUGAGCCCCCCCCUCCCCCCCAACACUUACGUGCUUAAUGCUAACCGCAUGCAGGGGCCCCUCUCUCAGUACUUCCCCAAAACCUAACCACAGUCACGUGACCCCAAAUCCCGUCUGGGUUCAAAGGGCACGCGACUCCAGCUUAGACUAAUUAAUAUCCACGCCUCGGAUAUGACAUACUAAUUCUUGCAUAUUCGUGCGACCAUAGUUACAUUGUAAUUAUGUAAUGUUUUUCUCCUCUCAGCUGGAAGAUGACCACAGCUCUAUGGCCUCCUCUCUCCUCAACAGUCUGCCCAUGACUACCUCACUGGACUCAUCACUACCUUACUCUGUACACUUUUUAUAUAUAGAAUGAAAUCAUUUUCACUCCUGUUCGAACAUCGACAGAAUCGAUUUGUAGGUAAAAAUUUGCAAUUUGACGAACACUUUUCCUGGGCGUGCUUACCGGAACGCAUGCAAUGCUGUGCAAGGAAGCAAACUCACUGCAGUUCAAGUUCAAUGAAUUUUUACGCCCCGAAAAUUACCCACUACAAUGUAUAAGGUACAAUGAAGAGUGUCAUACAGGAUUUUGAAUUAAAGUGGAUCGAUGCUCUGCAAAUGUUUGGGGUUUGGGGGGUAUUUUAGUUGCAUUACAAAUGUAUUACCGUACAUUUUAUGUGUCAUUUGUUCAAAAAUAAUUAUAUAAGGCACAGGUUGUAUAAUAAUUAUAAUGAUGCGAGUAUAGCAGGCACCUCCAAUGCUCACACUCUUACUUCUUCUCAGGAGCAGUUAUAGGUUGCACACCGUCACUGCAUAUGUACCUAAGUUUUUCUUCUAAUUGAGCACGAAAUAAUCAACAUAAAUUUUUAUACAAAAGCAGAUAUAAAGAACACAUAGAAGUAUACGUAAUUACAUAACAUUACACUAAUUAGGCUGUAACAAUUCACACACUUGAGUGUAUCCAUUCUUAUGAGCCAGAUCGUAGGCAGAUU
Halichondria panicea is the source of this 2007-nucleotide long non-coding RNA. RefSeq lists it as uncharacterized. The transcript has 3 exons. The record is from RefSeq and is a predicted model, not a curated record. NCBI's taxonomy places the organism in Eukaryota, Metazoa, Porifera, Demospongiae, Suberitida, Halichondriidae.